Molecule: transfer RNA, 73 nt
Filed under: bacterium
Lineage: Bacteria
Description: tRNA-Cys
Rfam family: tRNA
About the family: Transfer RNA (tRNA) molecules are approximately 80 nucleotides in length. Their secondary structure includes four short double-helical elements and three loops (D, anti-codon, and T loops). Further hydrogen bonds mediate the characteristic L-shaped molecular structure. tRNAs have two regions of fundamental functional importance: the anti-codon, which is responsible for specific mRNA codon recognition, and the 3' end, to which the tRNAs corresponding amino acid is attached (by aminoacyl-tRNA synthetases). tRNAs cope with the degeneracy of the genetic code in two manners: having more than one tRNA (with a specific anti-codon) for a particular amino acid; and 'wobble' base-pairing, i.e. permitting non-standard base-pairing at the 3rd anti-codon position.
Source: RNAcentral
GGCGGCGUAGCCAAGUGGUUAAGGCGAAGGACUGCAAAUCCUUUAUCCCCCGGUUCGAAUCCGGGCGCCGCCU